AGAGUUUGAUCCUGGCUCAGGACGAACGCUGGCGGUGUGCUUCACACAUGCAAGUCGAGCGGGUUUUAGUGGUAGCUUGCUAUCACUAAAAUUAGCGGCGGACGGGUGAGUAAUACAUAGGAAUCUGCCUCAAGGCGGGGGACAACGGGUCGAAAGAUCCGCUAAUACCCCAUAUGCGAGAAAUCGUGAAAGGAGUAAUCCGCCUAGAGAUGAGCCUGUGUCCGAUUAGCUAGUUGGCGGGGUAAUAGCCCACCAAGGCAACGAUCGGUAGUUGGUCUGAGAGGAUGAUCAGCCACAAUGGGACUGAGACACGGCCCAUACUCCUACGGGAGGCAGCAGUGGGGAAUUUUACGCAAUGGGGGAAACCCUGACGUAGCGACACCGCGUGAGCGAAGAAGCCUUUUGGGGUGUAAAGCUCUGUCAGCUGGAACGAAAACAAUGACGGUACCAGCAGAGGAAGCAUCGGCUAACUACGUGCCAGCAGCCGCGGUAAGACGUAGGAUGCAAGCGUUGUCCGGAUUCAUUGGGCGUAAAGAGUUCGUAGGUGGUUUGUUAAGUUUGGUGUUAAAGAACGGGGCCUAACCCCGGUAGUGCACUGAAUACUGGCAGACUUGAGUGCGGUAGAGGUAAGUGGAAUUCCAAGUGUAGCGGUGAAAUGCAUAGAUAUUUGGAAGAACACCGGUGGCGUAAGCGACUUACUGGGCCGUAACUGACACUGAGGAACGAAAGCCGGGGUAGCGAAUGGGAUUAGAUACCCCAGUAGUCCCGGCUGUAAACGAUGGAUACUAGGCGUUGUGGGUAUCGACCCCCGCAGUGCCGUAGCUAACGCGAUAAGUAUCCCGCCUGAGUAGUACGGCCGCAAGGUUGAAACUCAAAGGAAUUGACGG
Molecule: ribosomal RNA, 887 nt
Filed under: uncultured bacterium
Lineage: Bacteria
Description: bacterial SSU rRNA
Rfam family: Bacterial small subunit ribosomal RNA
Source: RNAcentral